This is a small nuclear RNA of Jaculus jaculus (lesser Egyptian jerboa), 104 nucleotides long. The record is from Ensembl. Lineage: Eukaryota; Metazoa; Chordata; Mammalia; Rodentia; Dipodidae.
GCGCUCACUUCAGCAGCACAUAUACUAAAACUGGAAUUAUACAGAGAUUAGCAUGGCCCUUGCACAAGGAUGACACGCAAAUUCGUGAAGCAUUCCAUAUUUAA